UUUAGUGAUUUUGGGGAUUAAAACCUCUUUUUUCUUAAAAAUGCACCUGGCAGUAUUGGUAAAAGUCAAAUAAACAUAUGUUUCAUUAAAUAUUUCAAAAUAAAUGAAGCUGCUGAGCAAUAAUGAAAGGCAAUAGCUGAAAUGAUGCCUGUUGCUUUGUCUUUACCACUGCCACAAAAGCUAUAGCUGAAGUCGAGCAAAUGACCCAGGAAUCUGACACCUGGAGAGAGAAUCGUACACAUUAGCAAAUGUGCUCAAUCUGCGAAUGUUGAACUUGAAUGCAACCAAACUAUUAUUUUAAUUUUCUCUAAUAAGGGCGUAAAUUGUUGGUGCGUCCAUACUUCUUCUUGCGGCAGUUAUUAGCACGGGAAUGGAGAGGAGUGUAGUACUUACGGCCACCACCUGUAUCGUCGUAUGUAUGCGGGUCAUUACGAUUUGACGACGAUGAUGAUGUCCACUGAAAUGCUUAGGCAAUUGCAGUUGAUGAUAAUGGGAAGACGAUGACGACUGAUAGUGGAAAAUACACAUGGACGUGUCCAACGUUACACAUAUAAAAUGAAAUAUUGCAAUGAAGCAAAUAAUACACGUACCUUUAAAUGCUAAUUUUGUGUUUGUUGGAUAAGUUAUGGAUAAAUAAUAGUUUAUGUUUGAAUUGGAA
Molecule: long non-coding RNA, 658 nt
Organism: Stomoxys calcitrans (stable fly)
Lineage: Eukaryota; Metazoa; Arthropoda; Insecta; Diptera; Muscidae
Exons: 5
Source: RefSeq, a predicted model, not a curated record